GGGACGGGGUGUGUUCGCCCGGAGUCAAUAGUGGGAGACCUGAAGCCUAUCGAUCUAUUCCUGGCCAGUUUGAAGCCCGGCGAAAGCUGGGUGGAGGAACGAACCGUUGCUGAUCUGCAAAUCGCUCGGAAGAGCUGGGUAUAGGGGUGAAAGUCCAAUCGAGAUGGGCAAUAGCAGGUUCCGCGCGAGACUACUCGUAGGUAGAUCUCCGUUGAGAUAGAUUGUGAUGUAGAGCACUGAUUGGGUAUUUAGGGGGAGCGAUCCCUCGGUACGCUGUCAAACUCCAAAGUUGCAAUCGUCGUAGACGCGGGGAGUGAGCCACGGUGGGUAAGCUACCGUGACGAAAGGUGAAUAAACCAGCUCAGCGUUAAGGUCCCAAAGUUCCAGUUAAGUGUUAAUGACAAACCGUGUCCGUGGUCGAAGACAACCAGAAGGUGGGCUUAGAGGCAGCCAUCCUUGAAAGAGUUCGUAACAGAUCACUGGUCAAGCUUGCGGGCCGGGAAAAUGGACGGGACUCAAACUGGACACCGAUACGCUGAACCUCCGAAAGGAGAUGUGGUAGCGCGGCGAUGUGCUCGGGCAGAAGCGAGGUCGUGAGAUCUCGUGGACCGUGUACAUAUGAGAAUCUAGGGAAGAGUAGCAGCAUAGAGUGGUGAGAAUCCGCUCCACCGAAGGGGCCAGGGUUCCUCGGCAAUGAUCAUCAGCCGAGGGUUAGCCGGUCCUAAGGACAUCCUUAACCGAGAUGUUCGAAAGGGAAAUGCGUUAAUAUUCGUAUGCCCCUCUGCAAUAGUGGUGACGGCUUGGGCUAGUUCUACCGUUCCUGUCGGGACGGCGAAGCGUAAUAAUCGAUUGGAGAACCGUCAUGGUGAGAAGAUCGAGAAGACGUGAGCAAAAGAUGAAUGAGGCCUAGGUCCCAUGAAAAACCGCAGAGGUGACCGUACCGAGAACUGACACAGGUGCCCCUGGGUGAGUAGCCUAAGGUGUGACGGGCAAAGUACCGCGAAGGAACUCGGCAAAAUCGCUCUGUAACUUCGGGAGAAGGAGUGCCAGCUUAGAGAUAAGCUGGUCGCAGUAACAAGGGGACUCCGACUGUUUAAUAAAAACAUAGCCGACUGCUAGUUCGAAAGGAUGUGUAUAGUCGGUGAAUCCUGCUCAGUGCCGGUAUCUGAAAUCGGGUUUCAACCUGACGAAGGACCGGUAAACAGCGGGGGUAACUAUGACCCUCUUAAGGUAGCGUAAUACCUUGUCGCUUAAUUGGCGACUUGCAUGAAUGGCACAACGAGAGUCCCACUGUCUCCGCGGUACGUCCGGCGAAAUUGACUAUUACUGGCGCACAGUCCAGUAACCUCAACCUGCAAGCGAAGACCCCAUAGAGCUUUACUGCAGCCUGGCGUUGUGUAUUCGCGCACCUUGUGCUGAGUAGACGGGAGAUGUUGAUCCUCGGGACGUCAGUCCCGAGAGUAGUCGUCCAUAGAGACACCGUCCUUGGUGCGUGAAUAUACUAACUCUUCUAGAGAACACCGCUUGGUGGGCAGUUUGGGUGGGGCGCCACGCGCCCGAAAAUCUAACAGGCGUGCCCAAAGGUCAGCUUAGGUGGUUCAGUCUCCACCGUAAACCGUAAGGGGAAAAGCUGGCUUGACGUGGAUCGGACCAAUAACGAUCGACGAUGCGAAAGCAGGGCCUAACGAACCAAUGUGCCUCAUUUCUGGGGGCCAUUGAUAACAGAAAAGUUACCUUGGGGAUAAUUGAGUUGUCACCAGCAA
Molecule: ribosomal RNA, 1763 nt
Filed under: marine metagenome
Description: bacterial LSU rRNA
Rfam family: Archaeal large subunit ribosomal RNA
Source: RNAcentral